Molecule: long non-coding RNA, 1042 nt
Filed under: Chinchilla lanigera (long-tailed chinchilla)
Lineage: Eukaryota; Metazoa; Chordata; Mammalia; Rodentia; Chinchillidae
Description: lncRNA (ENSCLAG00000024499.1)
Source: RNAcentral
CAGCCUCAAAACCACGGCUCUGUGUCAGUCAUCUCUGCCUGCCUCAGCCCAGGAUCUGCAGCUCAGCGCGAGCAGAGCCCCUGGCCCCUUGCGAUCCUUUCCGAGCCGGCUUUGCCAAAGCAGAGGUCACCCAGAAGCCAGUUUGUCAUCUUUGUGAUGGAGGGACAGGCACACGGAGAGAAGACCACCUACCACAGGUCCCCAGACAGCCCUCCCUGGGAUGUGACAGUUUCUGUGGGCGCAGGGCUCCAGGAAAAUACCUGUCUCCCCACCUAUGCAAAGAAGUGUCCAGACGAGCCGAACUCCGCCAUCCUGCUGCAAACGGGCCGGCGUGGGUUCUGCCCUCAGCCUCGCCUUCCCGCCCGCAUAGCCCUGCGCAGGCUCUGAGCCUUGGCCUCUUCCUCCGCGAAGUGAGGGUGGACACUGACCCAGUACUAUCUGAGGGCCCACAGGUGAGCAUGGGACACGCAACUCAGAGUCGCUCUGUGCCCGCAGCUGUCAGGUCAGACCGUGUCGCCCUGUGAGCCAGCGCCCGCCCUGGCUCAUCUGCGAUGCGUACAGAAACACAGGUCUUCCACCCAACACGCAUGGACCGUUGUGUUCAGUAAUAGAUUGAACAAGCUUCUCCCUCACAGCCAUGGGCCCCGGCCCCUGACUGUUUGCUUUCUAGAGAGAGUCCUCGGCCCUCCUUGGAGAAUACUAACGCGGCUGUCUGAGCCCCAGCCGGCUCUGGUGGAGCCACGUGGCCUCAGCCCUGCAGAGGACUUACGGGUACCAGUGGGUCCCACGGGGCCUUCCCCAUGUCCUGGUUCUCUCCUUCACGCCCGAGAACAUAGGCAUGCAGAGCCUUGGGGCUUCUCACACACCACCGGCACAGAGCGAAGUCCAGCGUGCCUAUUUCGUAUUUGAGGCUAGAAGUCAAGCACUUAUAUCAAGGCCACAUACUUUUUGCCAAUCCCUGAAUCUCCAAGUUGGAGCUGAGUGUGCCACAUCAAACACGUCUCCUGUCAUUCCACAUAGACAGUCACGUGUCACUUAACAA